UAUAAGACUGGGAUAACUUCGGGAAACCGGAGCUAAUACCGGAUAACAUUUAGAACCGCAUGGUUCUAAAGUGAAAGAUGGUUUUGCUAUCACUUAUAGAUGGACCCGCGCCGUAUUAGCUAGUUGGUAAGGUAACGGCUUACCAAGGCGACGAUACGUAGCCGACCUGAGAGGGUGAUCGGCCACACUGGAACUGAGACACGGUCCAGACUCCUACGGGAGGCAGCAGUAGGGAAUCUUCCGCAAUGGGCGAAAGCCUGACGGAGCAACGCCGCGUGAGUGAUGAAGGGUUUCGGCUCGUAAAACUCUGUUAUUAGGGAAGAACAAAUGUGUAAGUAACUGUGCACAUCUUGACGGUACCUAAUCAGAAAGCCACGGCUAACUACGUGCCAGCAGCCGCGGUAAUACGUAGGUGGCAAGCGUUAUCCGGAAUUAUUGGGCGUAAAGCGCGCGUAGGCGGUUUCUUAAGUCUGAUGUGAAAGCCCACGGCUCAACCGUGGAGGGUCAUUGGAAACUGGGAAACUUGAGUGCAGAAGAGGAAAGUGGAAUUCCAUGUGUAGCGGUGAAAUGCGCAGAGAUAUGGAGGAACACCAGUGGCGAAGGCGACUUUCUGGUCUGUAACUGACGCUGAUGUGCGAAAGCGUGGGGAUCAAACAGGAUUAGAUACCCUGGUAGUCCACGCCGUAAACGAUGAGUGCUAAGUGUUAGGGGGUUUCCGCCCCUUAGUGCUGCAGCUAACGCAUUAAGCACUCCGCCUGGGGAAUACGACCGCAAGGUUGAAACUCAAG
Molecule: ribosomal RNA, 788 nt
Filed under: uncultured Staphylococcus sp.
Lineage: Bacteria; Bacillati; Bacillota; Bacilli; Caryophanales; Staphylococcaceae
Description: bacterial SSU rRNA
Rfam family: Bacterial small subunit ribosomal RNA
Source: RNAcentral